AGACAGAGGUGGCAAGCGUUGUUCGGAAUUACUGGGCUUAAAGGGCGCGUAGGUGGUGGCGUAAGUCCGGGGUGGAAUGCUGAGGCUUAACCUCAGAAUUGCCUUGGAAACUGUUCAUCUUGAGUGCUGGAGAGGAAGGGGGAAUUCCCGGUGUAGAGGUGAAAUUCGUAGAGAUCGGGAGGAAUACCAGUGGCGAAGGCGGCUGCCUGGACCGAUAUUGACGCUGAGACGCGAAAGCGUGGGUAGC
This 247-nucleotide ribosomal RNA is filed under the name uncultured bacterium. RNAcentral's name for it is "partial 16S ribosomal RNA". It matches the Rfam family "Bacterial small subunit ribosomal RNA", at positions 523 to 769 of the family's 1533-position model. The record is from RNAcentral.